Molecule: long non-coding RNA, 544 nt
Organism: Homo sapiens (human)
Lineage: Eukaryota; Metazoa; Chordata; Mammalia; Primates; Hominidae
Gene: HOXC-AS3
Product: HOXC cluster antisense RNA 3
Source: Ensembl
AGUAACCAGCCUGUAACUCCUGGGGAGAAGGGGGCGGAGAGGGGGGAAAUGCGGGAGAGAGGGAGAGAGCGAGGCAACCCGGGGCUCAAAACAGUCAAAUUCAAAUUAAAAGGUCGAGACACGAAUCAGGAAACGGAAUCUGGAGAACAACUUGUCUUUCCUGUCGCCCCACAUUUUUCCUUGGACAGAGCCUAGGGUUCAGACUUUCCGAAGGGCUGGAGUUUGGCGGGGAAAGGACUGGAGCCCAGCGCCCUGGAGUGGAGGAGUGAGGAGGCUAGACCGUUUCUAAGGAGGCCCAAGCCCGCUGCGGCUAGAAGACCGCAGAAAGAAAUCCGCCGAAUUUCCCCAUCCAGGGGUGGAGAGAGAAGACGCAGGGGUUCCUGAACCUCCGGAAAACUGGAAGGAAAUGUGGAGUGUAUGAUUUGCUUGCAGGACCGGCCAGGGGAGAUUUGAAAUGGUUUUGUGUUUUCAUAUGCAGGGUCACCGUGGCCUCAGCAUGGGGGUUAUCCAGGGCAAGGUUAGGCUGUUUAGGCCCCAGACUUGG